RNAcentral lists this small nucleolar RNA (95 nucleotides) under Naumovozyma dairenensis CBS 421. RNAcentral describes it as "Small nucleolar RNA snR57". It matches the Rfam family "Small nucleolar RNA snR57". Rfam says of the family: snR57 is a member of the C/D class of snoRNA which contain the C (UGAUGA) and D (CUGA) box motifs. Most of the members of the box C/D family function in directing site-specific 2'-O-methylation of substrate RNAs. Lineage: Eukaryota; Fungi; Ascomycota; Saccharomycetes; Saccharomycetales; Saccharomycetaceae. The record is from Rfam by way of RNAcentral.
AUUAAUAUGAUUAUAAAACCAUGAUUUUUAUAUCGAACUGAGGAAGUACAUGCAGGAUAUAUUGUUAAUUAGGAAUUCUUCGUUUAUGAUCUAAC